RNAcentral lists this ribosomal RNA (227 nucleotides) under uncultured bacterium. RNAcentral's name for it is "partial 16S ribosomal RNA". It matches the Rfam family "Bacterial small subunit ribosomal RNA", at positions 15 to 235 of the family's 1533-position model. The record is from RNAcentral.
GAUCAUGGCUCAGGAUGGACGCUAGCUACAGGCUUAACACAUGCAAGUCGAGGGGCAGCAUGUUGGUUGCUUGCAACCAAUGAUGGCGACCGGCGCACGGGUGAGUAACGCGUAUCCAACAUACCCUUGUCCAUCGGAUAACCAGUCGAAAGGCGGCCUAACACGAUAUGCGGUUCACAGCAGGCAUCUAACGUGAACGAAAUGUAAAGGAGAAGGAUGGGGAUGCG